RNAcentral lists this ribosomal RNA (253 nucleotides) under uncultured bacterium. RNAcentral's name for it is "partial 16S ribosomal RNA". It matches the Rfam family "Bacterial small subunit ribosomal RNA", at positions 524 to 776 of the family's 1533-position model. The record is from RNAcentral.
UACGUAGGGGGCUAGCGUUGUCCGGAAUCAUUGGGCGUAAAGCGCGCGUAGGCGGCCCGGUAAGGCCGCUGUGAAAGUCCAAGGCUCAACCUUUGAAUGUCAGCGGAUACUGCCGGGCUAGAGUCCGGAAGAGGCGAGUGGAACUCCUGGUGUAGCGGUGGAAUGCGCAGAUAUCAGGAAGAACACCAACGGCGAAGGCAGCUCGCUGGGACGGAACUGACGCUGAGGCGCGAAAGCGUGGGGAGCGAACAGG